RNAcentral lists this long non-coding RNA (431 nucleotides) under Salmo salar (Atlantic salmon). RNAcentral's name for it is "lncRNA (ENSSSAG00000103762.1, ENSSSAG00000109890.1)". The record is from RNAcentral. Lineage: Eukaryota; Metazoa; Chordata; Actinopteri; Salmoniformes; Salmonidae.
GUUGUUUAUCCUCCAGGUGUCUGUCUGUCUGUUGGUGUUGUUUAUCCUCCAGGUGUCUGUCUGUCUGUUGGUGUUGUUUAUCCUCCAGGUCUCUGUCUGUUGGUGUUGUUUAUCCUCCAGGUCUCUGUCUGUCUGUUGGUGUUGUUUAUCCUCCAGGUGUCUGUCUGUCUGUUGGUGUUGUUUAUCCUCCAGGUCUCUGUCUGUUGGUGUUGUUUAUCCUCCAGGUCUCUGUCUGUUGGUGUUGUUUAUCCUCCAGGUGUCUGUCUGUUGGUGUUGUUUAUCCUCCAGGUCUCUGUCUGUCUGUUGGUGUUGUUUAUCCUCCAGGUCUCUGUCUGUUGGUGUUGUUUAUCCUCCAGGUCUCUGUCUGUUGGUGUUGUUUAUCCUCCAGGUGUCUGUCUGUUGGUGUUGUUUAUCCUCCAGGUGUCUGUCUG